RNAcentral lists this unclassified non-coding RNA (306 nucleotides) under plant metagenome. RNAcentral's name for it is "partial contains 5.8S ribosomal RNA, internal transcribed spacer 2, and large subunit ribosomal RNA". The stretch from base 1 to 105 matches the Rfam family "5.8S ribosomal RNA", at positions 50 to 154 of the family's 154-position model. The record is from RNAcentral.
GAAAUGCGAUAAGUAAUGUGAAUUGCAGAAUUCAGUGAAUCAUCGAAUCUUUGAACGCACAUUGCGCCCGCCAGUAUUCUGGCGGGCAUGCCUGUCCGAGCGUCAUUUCAACCAUCAAGCCCCCGGGCUUGUGUUGGGGACCUGCGGCUGCCCGCAGGCCCUGAAAACCAGUGGCGGGCUCGCUGUCACACCGAGCGUAGUAGCAAUCACCUCGCUCAGGGCGUGCUGCGGGUUCCGGCCGUUAAACAGCCUUACAAAACCCAAGGUUGACCUCGGAUCAUGUAGGAAGACCCGCUGAACUUAAGC